CCCUUAGAUGUUCUGGGCCGCACGCGCGCUACACUGACGAAUGCAACGAGCUUAUAACCUUGGCCGAAAGGUCUGGGUAAUCUCCAAAUUUCGUCGUGAUGGGGAUAGAUUAUUGCAAUUAUUAAUCUUCAACGAGGAAUGCCUAGUAAGCGCAAGUCAUCAGCUUGCGUUGAUUACGUCCCUGCCCUUUGUACACACCGCCCGUCGCUCCUACCGAUGAAUGUUAAGGUGAAUUCUCCGGAUUCGCGGCUCGCAUUGGGCAACCUUUCUGAGCCAACGAAAAAGUUGUGUAAGCCUUGACAUUUAGAGGAAGGAAAAGUCGUAACA
This 327-nucleotide ribosomal RNA is filed under the name uncultured eukaryote. RNAcentral's name for it is "partial 18S ribosomal RNA". It matches the Rfam family "Eukaryotic small subunit ribosomal RNA", at positions 1470 to 1796 of the family's 1831-position model. The record is from RNAcentral.